GAUGAACGCUGGCGGCGUGCCUAAUACAUGCAAGUCGAGCGAACAGAUGAGGAGCUUGCUCCUCUGACGUUAGCGGCGGACGGGUGAGUAACACGUGGAUAACCUACCUAUAAGACUGGGAUAACUUCGGGAAACCGGAGCUAAUACCGGAUAAUAUAUUGAACCGCAUGGUUCAAUAGUGAAAGACGGUUUUGCUGUCACUUAUAGAUGGAUCCGCGCCGCAUUAGCUAGUUGGUAAGGUAACAGCUUACAAAGGCGACGAUGCGUAGCCGACCUGAGGGGGUGAUCGGCCACACUGGAACUGAGACACGGUCCAGACUCCUACGGGAGGCAGCAGUAGGGAAUCUUCCGCAAUGGGCGAAAGCCUGACGGAGCAACGCCGCGUGAGUGAUGAAGGUCUUCGGAUCGUAAAACUCUGUUAUUAGGGAAGAACAAAUGUGUAAGUAACUAUGCACGUCUUGACGGUACCUAAUCAGAAAGCCACGGCUAACUACGUG
Molecule: ribosomal RNA, 497 nt
Filed under: uncultured bacterium
Lineage: Bacteria
Description: partial 16S ribosomal RNA
Rfam family: Bacterial small subunit ribosomal RNA
Source: RNAcentral